RNAcentral lists this ribosomal RNA (478 nucleotides) under uncultured bacterium. RNAcentral describes it as "partial 16S ribosomal RNA". It matches the Rfam family "Bacterial small subunit ribosomal RNA", at positions 28 to 507 of the family's 1533-position model. The record is from RNAcentral.
GAUGAACGCUGGCGGCGUGCUUAACACAUGCAGGUCGAACGAGAAAUGUAGACGGAAACCUUCGGGCGGAAGCCUUCAUUUCGAGUGGCGGACGGGUGAGUAACGCGUGGGUAACCUGCCUCAUACAGGGGGAUAACAGUUGGAAACGACUGUUAAUACCGCAUAAGACCACAGCAUCGCAUGAUGCGGGGGUAAAAACUCCGGUGGUAUGAGAUGGACCCGCGUUCGAUUAGCCAGUUGGCGGGGUAACGGCCCACCAAAGCGACGAUCGAUAGCCGAUCUGAGAGGAUGACCGGCCACAUUGGGACUGAGACACGGCCCAAACUCCUACGGGAAGCAGCAGUGGGGAAUAUUGCACAAUGGGGGAAACCCUGAUGCAGCGACGCCGCGUGAGUGAAGAAGUACUUCGGUAUGUAAAGCUCUAUCAGCAGGGAAGAAAAUGACGGUACCUGAGGAAGAAGCCCCGGCUAACUACGUG